CGCGUGGGAACGUGCCCCAAAGUGAGGAAUAACGCACCGAAAGGUGUGCUAAUGCCGCAUAUGGUCUUCGGAUUAAAGCUUCGGCGCUUUGGGAGCGGCCUGCGUACGAUUAGAUAGUUGGUGAGGUAAUGGCUCACCAAGUCGACGAUCGUUAGCUGGUCUGAGAGGAUGACCAGCCAGACUGGAACUGAGACACGGUCCAGACUCCUACGGGAGGCAGCAGUGAGGAAUCUUCCACAAUGGGGGCAACCCUGAUGGAGCAACGCCGCGUGAAGGAUGAAGGCCCUCGGGUCGUAAACUUCUUUUAUUAGUGAAGAAUAUGACGGUAACUAAUGAAUAAGGAUCGGCUAACAACGUG
This 358-nucleotide ribosomal RNA is filed under the name uncultured bacterium. RNAcentral describes it as "bacterial SSU rRNA". It matches the Rfam family "Bacterial small subunit ribosomal RNA", at positions 114 to 507 of the family's 1533-position model. The record is from RNAcentral.